Molecule: long non-coding RNA, 1080 nt
Organism: Vitis riparia (riverbank grape)
Lineage: Eukaryota; Viridiplantae; Streptophyta; Magnoliopsida; Vitales; Vitaceae
Exons: 4
Source: RefSeq, a predicted model, not a curated record
CUGUUACUGAUAAUGUCAUUGCUACUAUUUAUGCUACUCAUCCAACUCCUAUGGAGAAAUAUGGAAGUUGUGGUUGAAAAGGUUUGCAACAGGUUUGGUGGAGUCACAUGUAUUGUUUAUACUAUUGUUUUAAUUCUAUUUUCAUCUAUCAUGUGCUAAUAUGACAACUUAUUAUCAUGUCAGGUUUUCAUGCAUGACUUCAUUAUAAGAUAUAAUGUCAUGGCACCUUGCAUUUUUGUUGAAUAUAGCUUACGCUUGGACUAGUCUCUUAUUUACCCAUAUCGGAGACAUACUUCAUUAAUAACCUAGCAAGAGUAAGGAGUUUGCAACUGGAACUCAAGUCUCACAUUGAGGAGUUUGAGAAGCUUGACAAAUUCCAUAUGGAACAAAUGGAAGAAGAGGUUACUGCAAGAAAUGCCCACAUACAUCAACAGAAAGUUGGUAGUUUGGAAUGUUUUAUGGUAGCUAAGAGCAGUGCAGAAGAAUUUUCAAAAAUUGAUAUUGUUGAAGGAGAAUCUUAGAAGAUGAGGAAUGCUCUUGUUGGUGUAUUGGGAAAGUUGAUUAUGUAGGUCUUUACGGAUGUUGAGGGUAAAGUGAGUUCAAAAUCUAUUCAGCUUCAAACCAAGCAAGCCAUUUUGGAAAUAUUGCUAGAGCGAUGUCGAGAUGUUUCAGCUUAUUAUAUUAGAAGUAAGGUUCUUCAAGUUUUGAGGAACUAUUUUGACAACAUUUUGUUUUAAUUUGCAUGCAAAAUGAGGUUGUUGUAGUUGCAACAGGGAGGUUGGAGGAUAAGAAUGCAAUGCCUUAGAGCAGUAGAAGAAUUUGAGUGACCUUCAACCAAUUGAUGUAUAUGGAGUCAUGUGUCCGAAGGAAGCUAUUUCCGAUGCUUCUACUGAGAAGAACUUGAUUGGCCGCUAUACACCUUUCCAAUCAAAGCUUUGUAGAAAUUAAAUUGUAUUCUAAUGUUAAAUGAAUAUUGUAAGUAAUUUUCUUCCAGAUAUCUUUGGAAAAUAGGUUUCCAGUAGGUUUAGUUGGAGUCUCAGGUGUUCUUUAUGCUAUUAUUUCAAUUCUCUUUUCAUUCUA